CACAGGUCUGUCUCAAGGAGAAGCU
Molecule: non-coding RNA, 25 nt
Filed under: Cricetulus griseus (Chinese hamster)
Lineage: Eukaryota; Metazoa; Chordata; Mammalia; Rodentia; Cricetidae
Source: RNAcentral